ACUGGAAACGGUGGCUAAUACCGCAUAACGUCGCAAGACCAAAGAGGGGGACCUUCGGGCCUCUUGCCAUCAGAUGUGCCCAGAUGGGAUUAGCUUGUUGGUGAGGUAACGGCUCACCAAGGCGACGAUCCCUAGCUGGUCUGAGAGGAUGACCAGCCACACUGGAACUGAGACACGGUCCAGACUCCUACGGGAGGCAGCAGUGGGGAAUAUUGCACAAUGGGCGCAAGCCUGAUGCAGCCAUGCCGCGUGUAUGAAGAAGGCCUUCGGGUUGUAAAGUACUUUCAGCGGGGAGG
RNAcentral lists this ribosomal RNA (296 nucleotides) under Salmonella enterica subsp. enterica serovar Senftenberg. Its description in RNAcentral is "partial 16S ribosomal RNA". It matches the Rfam family "Bacterial small subunit ribosomal RNA", at positions 149 to 447 of the family's 1533-position model. Lineage: Bacteria; Pseudomonadati; Pseudomonadota; Gammaproteobacteria; Enterobacterales; Enterobacteriaceae. The record is from RNAcentral.